CUACGGGGUGCAGCAGUGGGGAAUAUUGCACAAUGGGCGCAAGCCUGAUGCAGCCAUGCCGCGUGUAUGAAGAAGGCCUUCGGGUUGUAAAGUACUUUCAGCGGGGAGGAAGGGAGUAAAGUUAAUACCUUUGCUCAUUGACGUUACCCGCAGAAGAAGCACCGGCUAACUCCGUGCCAGCAGCCGCGGUAAUACGGAGGGUGCAAGCGUUAAUCGGAAUUACUGGGCGUAAAGCGCACGCAGGCGGUUUGUUAAGUCAGAUGUGAAAUCCCCGGGCUCAACCUGGGAACUGCAUCUGAUACUGACAAGCUUGAGUCUCGUAGAGGGGGGUAGAAUUCCAGGUGUAGCGGUGAAAUGCGUAGAGAUCUGGAGGAAUACCGGUGGCGAAGGCGGCCCCCUGGACGAAGACUGACGCUCAGGUGCGAAAGCGUGGGGAGCAAACAGGAUUAGAUACCCAUGUAGUC
RNAcentral lists this ribosomal RNA (464 nucleotides) under uncultured bacterium. Its description in RNAcentral is "partial 16S ribosomal RNA". It matches the Rfam family "Bacterial small subunit ribosomal RNA", at positions 339 to 795 of the family's 1533-position model. The record is from RNAcentral.